Molecule: ribosomal RNA, 108 nt
Filed under: uncultured eukaryote
Lineage: Eukaryota
Description: partial 18S ribosomal RNA
Rfam family: Eukaryotic small subunit ribosomal RNA
Source: RNAcentral
UGGUGGAGUGAUUUGUCUGGUUAUAAUUCCGUUAACGAACGAGACCUCAGCCUGCUAAAUAGUUGGCAUAAUCCCUCGUGGAUUGUCGCCGACUUCUUAGAGGGACCU